UCCGUAGGCGGUUUGGUAAGUCAGUGGUGAAAGCCCAUCGCUCAACGGUGGAACGGCCAUUGAUACUGCCAGACUUGAAUUAUUAGGAAGUAACUAGAAUAUGUAGUGUAGCGGUGAAAUGCUUAGAGAUUACAUGGAAUACCAAUUGCGAAGGCAAGGUACUACCAACAGAUUGACGCUGAUGGACGAAAGCGUGGGGAGCAAACAGGAUUAGAUACCCUCGUA
This 225-nucleotide ribosomal RNA is filed under the name uncultured Flavobacterium sp. RNAcentral describes it as "partial 16S ribosomal RNA". It matches the Rfam family "Bacterial small subunit ribosomal RNA", at positions 568 to 792 of the family's 1533-position model. The record is from RNAcentral. Lineage: Bacteria; Pseudomonadati; Bacteroidota; Flavobacteriia; Flavobacteriales; Flavobacteriaceae.